Molecule: RNA transcript, 6629 nt
Organism: Spinacia oleracea (spinach)
Lineage: Eukaryota; Viridiplantae; Streptophyta; Magnoliopsida; Caryophyllales; Amaranthaceae
Gene name: F-box protein SKIP23
Exons: 6
Source: RefSeq, a predicted model, not a curated record
AAAUUAUCACCGUGAUUGUUUAGGACUCAUCUUCCCUCUCUUCCCUCUUUUCUCAGUUUGCAAUUGCGGCAUAUUUGGGCAAAACUACCACAAAAUAGCUGUCGAUUCGAUUCGAUCUGAUCUCAAUUUUCUCUCCUCUGCCUGGACACAUGGAUAAUUGUGAUUGGUCUGCGCUACCCGUUGAUAUCCUUGGAGAAAUAGUGUUGAAGCUAGAGUCUCCUCAAGACAUUAUCUAUUUUUCUGCGGUUUCCAGUUUGGUUCGUCGUUUUUUGGGGGGUUUGGUUUGCCAGAUUGUCGAUUUUGGUGUUACAGGAAAUUCUAUCCCAUUUUCUCGAUUUCCAUCUGCUCCUUUCUCACACAUUCAACAGAGAAAGAAAUUUAGAAGGAGAAGGAGCCCUAAAUCUGGUGAAAAGGUUUGAUUGACUUCUGUGAACACUCCUUUGAUUUACUUCUCUCUCAACAUCACCCAAAAGCUCUAAAAUUUAUUUUUUGUCGUAUUCAAUUUGACGACGAAUUUGGGCGUUCGUACCUCCCUCGAGAACGCCAGCUUUCUGAGCGGCUCCAUCGACGUUGGGUUUCGGUACUCCAUCAUCCCCUUUUCUCGGAUCUUCUAUCUUCAAUACUCCCUCUUCUUUCGCUCAGAAUGUUCAGCAGCAGCAGCAAACGACGCCCUUUUGGUAGCAGUUGAGUACCAGAUUCGUCUUCAAUUCGACGUUCAUUCUCUUGAGCACGAUGAAGAGAAUAGUCACAGUUGAAGAAAAUAACGAUUCAAGAUUGAAGGUUCAGUCUCCCGAACAUUGAAUCAGGUUCUGUGAAUUCAGUAUUUAACGCUACAUUUGAAAUUGAAGCAGAAAGGGGAAGCACUUGCUAAGGUUUGUUUACUCAAUUUCCCCCUUUUUAAAUUUGAUUUGUGCUAUUUUUUUUGUUGUUGUAAGUUCUGAAUUUAUUUUGCGUUGCUCUUUUAAGGUGCCGGGUCUUUUUAGAUUAUCAGUUUCUGGAUUAUAUUUGAUUUAUUGUUCAUGAAUUUCUGUAAAUUUUAUGGAUAUUUAUGAGUUUCUUCUGGUUUAUUUGUGGUUCUGUUGUUACAUUAUUGCUUGGAUCUAAUCAUCUUCGCCAAAUCAGUUUUCUAAGUUCCACCGAGCCUGAUUUCUAUUGCAUUCUUAUGGAUCUUAAUAAAUCGUUAGAAUAUUUACUUUAGUUUUUAAUGGCUUUUGGCUAUUGAAUUAUUUAUCUGGAGAUUGGUUAUUCUGUUUCCCAGUUCUUUUAGCGUUUUGCUGUUUGAUUUUGGAUGUGGGUGUCAUGAUAAUGCUUGUGAGCAUUAUCUUGUUUUUAUGUGGUAAAUCUGUAUUCAGCUGGUAAUUAGAGGCCAAUUUCCUUAUGCUAUGUAUUUCCAUGAGCAUAUUUCAGACCCUGAAGCCAAAGUUUCUAUAAUUGUAUGGCUAAACAAGGGACUUCCCAACUGUCACAAUCUGUAUAUACCCAGAAAUGCCCCUGUAUUAUUUCACUAUGCCCUCAUAAUACCUCCUAUGUGUUCCUGUAACACCAAAAUUACCCCCAUAAUGAACAGAAGGCACUCCCAACUGGGAAAAGCUCAUGAUUAGACUCUAUGUUUAAUUUUACGGACUUGAAAACUCCAAGAUAAUAUUCCAUUUCAGUUUCUUGUAUGUUGUCAGGCCCUAGAAUGGCAGUAGUGAACUGGUGAAAGUUGUGGGAAGUUUUUAGCAAGAUCAAUAUGGAUUUAGCCUUUUCCGGGGGUUUCAUUAGUAUAUAUUGCCUCUAAGCAUAAAUUUUGUUGACUUUGUGGAUAUGUGGUUCAUUGAAGUCAUUGUAUGGUUUUGUUACAGACCUGUCUGGGAAGCGAGUGAGGAGUGGAGCUUAAUAAGUUUGAUUUUAUUUAUAGCUUAUAAUUCAUUGUAAAAGCUUUUUCAAUUCGUUUCCUAACAUCUGACAUUGAUUUUGAUUAUAUUAAAUAUGGACUAAGAGAUUUUAGUUAUACUGAUUUUAAUAUAAUAAAAUGGUUAAUUAAGUUUUUUUCAUAGUAACCAUUUUACGUGUUUUGGGGGUCUCAUUAAUUGUGGCUUGAUCUGAUCAUUUUCAUGGAAUCCCAUAUUAGGUGUAAAGAAUAUUACAGAUUUACAAUACUGUAAAGAAAAUCAAAUUCAUUGUAAAGAAUAGAAUACUUAGCAUCAUGUGAGAAAAUGUAAGAGCAUAAGAUAGAUAGUGGCUAUGCGCUUUAUAAUUUUCUGUUUUGUUAAUAGUUCUUGUUGCUUUUGGCCUAUGCUGCCUCGGGAUAUCAGAAUGUUCUUCAAGAGAACCGCAAAAUGUUCAACAUAAUGCAAGACCUGAAGGUGGACAUGGGAAGAACUCUACCUUGAAUCUUCUUCCUACUGAUUAUUUAUGAUUAAGAACUUGUUAUUUUCUGCUCUCUGGCACCUCUCUUAUAGGUCUAUGAUUAAGAACAUGGGAAAAUGUACAUCUUCUUAUGAAGACACCUCUCUUAUAGGUCUAUUUUUUCUGACCCUGUGAUGUGUGUUCUAGCUUUGGAUCUGGUUCAAGGUCCUCUUCUUAAAGGUGUAUGUUUUCAGACCCAGGCCUUACCCAGAUCUGACCCACAUACAUUAUAUUUUUCAUUUUUAUAUUACAAGAUGAAAAUCUGAAACACCUAACAAGUUAACUGGUUUUCCCUAAUCUGACUCUGAAUUGUGAUGGAACUCGGGUGAUUUGUGUGACCGCUUGCCUUGACAAUGUUGGUGAAGGUUUCACCUUUUGUUUCUUACAUUAGCUUAACCAACUUUAAACUAUCAUACUUCCUCCGUUUUUUUUUAAAUGACACAAUUAUUUAGGCAUGUUUGCCAAUACACAAUUUCAAAUAUUAAUAUCUCUAAUUGUGGAUCGGAAAAAAUUAUAAAAAGUUGAUAGUUAAAUAAUAUUUACUGAUACGAAUCUAAUAAGACCCCCACACGAUUAUGUUUUUUUUUUAUUUAUAAACCACAAAAAGAAAUCAAAAGUAUUUGUGUGAAUAGUAUAUUAAGCUAUGAAUAUGAAAAGUAGCAAGUUCAACACCCAUUUUGGACAUUAGACCCAAUAGACUCUAUGAAUCUUUCAGAGUAGGAUAUGGAUCUACAAAAAAAAUUAAAAAAUAUAUUACUACAGAAAGGGUACGGCUCGAGGUUUUACUAGACCCUAUCAAUUUUCAUUCCUACAGCAGCCGUGAACCAUGCCUUCAUGUCACAUAUUAACCAUGCCUCUCUGGAAAUCUGUAUUCAGAUUUACUUCUCUGUUUGUGUUUGUCGUUUGUUUCUCUGUAAAUAUUUUGUAAAAUAAGAACGCAGUUUUAAUAGUCAUUUUGCCCUAUGAUAACUAGGUGAGGAUACACCAGAGGUUUGUGGAAAAUGUUUCUAUGCGACAAAGUGCUAUUAUCAGUAAUGCAACCUCAAAUAUACAAAAGGAUCUUCUUAGUAUUAUCAGUAAUGCAACCUACAGCUGCUUAAUAUGAAGCACGGGUACGCCUCUAAGGCGCCGUUUCCCGUACCGGGUACGGGUACGGGACGGAUUCGCCUGUGAUUCGUACCCAGAACGAUUCCAAAGGGCCGGGUACGCGGGUAACUUUUGGGGACGGCUAAGGUGAAGUCGGGGACGGGUUGGGUACGUUUUUCAGGGGAAAGGCACGUACCCAAACAACCCAGAUUCACAUUUUAGGGUAUUACUUUUCGAAAUUGGACAACCUAUUAAUGAGAAGCAGGGAGUAAAGAUCUGGGAUUUUGGUCGCACAUGUGAGGCGACUUCCAUGGAAGUCUUCUCGUCCUUGGUGGUCGGAAAGUGCUAGAGAACCAGAAAAAAUGAAAGGGGCGAACUUAGACUUGAAGAAGUUAAGAACUGAGGAACAGAGACUUGAAGAAGUUAAGAACAGAGGAAGGCGAAGAAAGCGGACGAAGAAGUGUAGAAGAUGCUUUUAUUUAUUUAUUUUCUUUAUAUAUUAUAUUUACAGCUGUUUUUAUCCCUUUAUACUUCUAUGACUUACAGCUGUCUCUGUUGAUGUGUUUUACAUGUGAGGAAGCCAGAAACAUUCAAUAUUCAGUGGGCCCAUCUCUUUACAUAUUUAUUUGUUUAAAAUUCAUUAUAUCUGUUUUUAAGGGGUUGUAAGACUGGUAACUUGUAAUACGCCAUUUGACUAGGAUAUAAAAAAGGUACAGUAGAUUUUUUUUAUCUCUCUAUUCAUUUUUCUUUAUUAUUUUAUUUUUUUGUUUUCUUAUUUACUUAUUAUAAAAUUUAGUUAAAUUCUUAUUUUUUUUCCCGAAUUCACCCCGUACCCGUUUUUUGCAAUUUUGAUUUUGCCGUUUUCCGUCCCCGUACCCGUCCCGGUAUCCGUCCCCGUACCCAUUUCCGUGCAACCUGAUGUAUUAGCCUCGAAACUCACAUUUUAAUUUAAACUUCAGAUUAGUCCUGCUGUUAGUCAUCAACUUUGCUUGAUCUUGUACGAUGCAUGUCCUAAGAGUAAAUGUCUUUCAUUUUAUCUUCGGAUGGUUUUCCAUAGCAACAGGUCUGGUUCUUCCAUUCUGUCCUUAAUUUUGAUUUGAAUCAAUUUAAAAGUCUUAUAUAAGUUGUUAAUUUAUUGUCUAAUUUCAUGAUGAUUAGAGGGCUUGGUUUCUUCACCCGGAAGAUGGAUGUUGGAUUUUGCUAUGAUCAUUGCAGACUAUGCCAUUCCGGCAUAUAUAGCAGAAUUUACUGCAAAACAUAUUCGAGCAGGGUUUUGUAAUUCUACAUGUGGUAACUGAUCUAUACCCAAAUUAUUAAGAACAAGUACAACUCUUGUAUAAACUUAAAUUUAUAAGAACUUAUGGUUGGUAACAUUGACUUAAUUGUCAUCCUUUCUUAGUUAAUGAUAACAGUCGGAGCAUCUGUAGCAAUUCUCAUAGUCUAUUUGGCAUACUUCAGCUAUAAUUGGAAUAUGUUCUAUUAGAAGAAAAAUGUUGUAAAUGAAGAUAAUUUCAUAUCAAUUGUCAAUGAAAAUAAAAAAGAGUGUUCCACAAUGAAGAUAAUACUCAAAUGUUUAAUCUUCCAUUACAGCUAAACAGUGAGACACAGUUCUCAAUCAUGUUGUUCCAUCAUCUCUUCUAAUUAUUUUCAGGUGGGUAAUGUUUUACUUUGUAAUUUUUCUGGUGUUACAUUCGAUUAGACUCUUGUUUUUUUUAAAAAAACUUUCUAAUACUACUUCCCAACUUCAUAAACAUCUUGAAAUUAGAUCACUUUCUUUAAUGGUAAUGGAGAUUAGGAUGAGUGCAAUAUGGUGUUGGAUUAUCAUGCUGCGACUAAAAGUCAGAGGAGGCCCCUUGCUAUUUCAGAGAAUCGAAUUCACAUACUGAUGGGGUGCUAGCAGGUAUUGGACUUCCCAUUAGCCUGCCCCAUGGCACUACAUUCUUCUAGGGGGGCACUGGCCGAUUAGACGUUGGUCGUUUUAUCAUGGACUUCUUCUGAUCAAAGAACUUGAUCAAUGAAAAAGGGUUCAUCCUUGUACUCUAUAUGAUGUGUGGCCCAAGCAAAAAGGAGCUGAUGUGAACUUUUAAGCCUUAUCUUGUUAGUUUUAUGUUAUUUAUAGAUUAUAAGUGGGAGACUGAAGUUUUUUUUUGGAUGAUUGCAUGAAUUAUUUUGGAAUUAUGCAAUUGGUUAAUGCUGAUUUUUUUGCACCGAAAUAUAGCUUGUUUAUGCUGUUUUUUUUAUAUAUAAAAAAAAGGACUCCUGUUAGGUAUUAAAAAAAAGGCUCUCUCCAGGUUGCGUGCACCAAGUUCAACUCGAAUACGAGUCUCCAUCAACUUUACCGAAUGGCUCUGUGUAUUGUGGUAUAUUGUAUUUGGAGGGAGAGGAACUACAGAAGAUUUCAACAGAAACAACAGAGUAGCAGCUCCCUAUUAAAAGAAAUGCAGGUUAUGAUGUGCCUUUGAUGUCUACAGUUCAAGAAUGUGCAAGGUUAUAUGCCUUAGUUUUUUUAUCCGGCUUGUGUCUUGGUUUCGUCUAUUGGCUUCUUUGCACUUCUGUUCUGCUACCUUUUGUUCUGGUACAAUGUUGUGGUUGUUCCUGCUGCUGCAGAUCUUAUGGGCAGACUUCAGAAGCUGCUGACUGCAGUUCAGUUUCCAGGCUCGUUAUUUUCUUUGUGUGGUCCAGUGGCGGCUGCUGUGUAGGCUGGUCCUUUUUCCUGCUCUUAUUUUUGUGCUUCCUCCUGCUGGUGCAAUAUAAUCUUGCUGUUGGUGCUUGUCUUCACGGGUGCAGGUGUUGUUCUGUUGCUGUUUGGGCUGCAUCAGUUCUUUCCUAUGCAUUUGUGUUGGCUUGCUGAUUGGGUUGCUGCUGUCCUGCUAUUGCUGCUGGUCUUUGCUGGUGCUCGACUGCCGUUGGGCUUUUGUUUGUUUGUUUGUACGGGUUGCGGGUGUGCAACCCAUUCUUUUUUUUUUUUUCCGUUUGUAUUUGUUUAGGACUUUCAUUUUUCUACCUGUUGGUCAUAAAAUAUUCGAUUUACCGGAAAAAAAAAAAAAAAAACCUCUCUCAGACAUAGUGAAAAAAAUAUAAAAUUAGAUAUCACGGAUUUUAUUAAAUUGUUAACUUAAAUAAAACUCUUAUAUCAACGGCUAUAUUUUAUA